Molecule: long non-coding RNA, 220 nt
Filed under: Elaeis guineensis (African oil palm)
Lineage: Eukaryota; Viridiplantae; Streptophyta; Magnoliopsida; Arecales; Arecaceae
Description: long non-coding RNA (EGUI_LNC027557)
Source: RNAcentral
AUUUUGUUAUAAUUAAUGAUUUCUCAAAAUUUACUUGGGUUUUAUUUUUAUCACACAAAGAUGAAGCUUUUGAUAUCUUUGUCGAUUUAUUUAACAAAAUAACAAAAGAAAAAGAUUGUUGUGUUUUGAAUAUAAGAAGUGAUCAUGACAUCAAAUUUAAAAAUUAUAAAUUUAAAAAUUUUUAUUCUAAAAAUAAAAUUAAUCAUAAUUUUUCAGCACC